This 430-nucleotide ribosomal RNA is filed under the name Pseudomonadota bacterium. RNAcentral's name for it is "Proteobacteria bacterium partial 16S ribosomal RNA". It matches the Rfam family "Bacterial small subunit ribosomal RNA", at positions 355 to 776 of the family's 1533-position model. Lineage: Bacteria; Pseudomonadati; Pseudomonadota. The record is from RNAcentral.
UGGGGAAUAUUGGACAAUGGGCGAAAGCCUGAUCCAGCCAUGCCGCGUGUGUGAAGAAGGCCUUUUGGUUGUAAAGCACUUUAAGCGAGGAGGAGGCUACUAGUACUAAUACUACUGGAUAGUGGACGUUACUCGCAGGAUAAGCACCGGCUAACUCUGUGCCAGCAGCCGCGGUAAUACAGAGGGUGCGAGCGUUAAUCGGAUUUACUGGGCGUAAAGCGUGCGUAGGCGGCUGAUUAAGUCGGAUGUGAAAUCCCUGAGCUUAACUUAGGAAUUGCAUUCGAUACUGGUCAGCUAGAGUAUGGGAGAGGAUGGUAGAAUUCCAGGUGUAGCGGUGAAAUGCGUAGAGAUCUGGAGGAAUACCGAUGGCGAAGGCAGCCAUCUGGCCUAAUACUGACGCUGAGGUACGAAAGCAUGGGGAGCAAACAGG